CCUACGGCGGCUGCAGUGGGGAAUAUUGGACAAUGGGCGAAAGCCUGAUCCAGCCAUGCCGCGUGUGUGAAGAAGGUCUUCGGAUUGUAAAGCACUUUAAGUUGGGAGGAAGGGUUGUAGAUUAAUACUCUGCAAUUUUGACGUUACCGACAGAAUAAGCACCGGCUAACUCUGUGCCAGCAGCCGCGGUAAUACAGAGGGUGCGAGCGUUAAUCGGAUUUACUGGGCGUAAAGCGUGCGUAGGCGGCUUCUUAAGGCGGAUGUGAAAGGCCCGGGCUCAACCUGGGAACUGCAACCAAAACUGGCAAGCUUGAGUACAGUAGAAGGUUGUGGAAUUUCCUGUGUAGCGGUGAAAUGGCUAGAUAUAGGAAGGAACACCAGUGGCCAAGGCGACCACCUGGACUGAUACUGACACUGAGGUGCGAAAGCGUGGGGAGCAAACAGGAUUAGAUACCCUAGUAGUC
This 464-nucleotide ribosomal RNA is filed under the name uncultured Azomonas sp. RNAcentral describes it as "bacterial SSU rRNA". It matches the Rfam family "Bacterial small subunit ribosomal RNA", at positions 338 to 795 of the family's 1533-position model. Lineage: Bacteria; Pseudomonadati; Pseudomonadota; Gammaproteobacteria; Pseudomonadales; Pseudomonadaceae. The record is from RNAcentral.